UGGCAGGAAGUUUCCAGAGAUGGAUUCGUGCUCGAAAGAGAACCUGCACACAGGUGCUGCAUGGCUGUCGUCAGCUCGUGUCGUGAGAUGUUGGGUUAAGUCCCGCAACGAGCGCAACCCUUGCCAUCAGUUGCUACGAAAGGGCACUCUGAUGGGACUGCCGGUGACAAACCGGAGGAAGGUGGGGGAUGACGUCAAGUCCUCAUGGCCCUUAUAGGUGGGGCUACACACGUCAUACAAUGGCCGGUACAAAGGGCAGCAAACCCGCGAGGGGGAGCCAAUCCAUCAAAGCCGGUCGUAGUCCGGAUCGCAGUCUGCAACUCGACUGCGUGAAGUCGGAAUCGCUAGUAAUCGUGGAUCAGCAUGUCACGGUGAAUACGUUCCCGGGUCUU
This 392-nucleotide ribosomal RNA is filed under the name uncultured Hydrogenophaga sp. RNAcentral describes it as "bacterial SSU rRNA". It matches the Rfam family "Bacterial small subunit ribosomal RNA", at positions 987 to 1382 of the family's 1533-position model. Lineage: Bacteria; Pseudomonadati; Pseudomonadota; Betaproteobacteria; Burkholderiales; Comamonadaceae. The record is from RNAcentral.